RNAcentral lists this long non-coding RNA (15265 nucleotides) under Populus trichocarpa (black cottonwood). Its description in RNAcentral is "long non-coding RNA (PTRI_LNC003406)". Lineage: Eukaryota; Viridiplantae; Streptophyta; Magnoliopsida; Malpighiales; Salicaceae. The record is from RNAcentral.
CAAGUAACUCAAAUGUAUUUAUUAUGAGUCCUGCAGACUUGAUCAUCAGCUUGGCAGUGUCAACGAGGUAUUGGUAAACUCUGUGGGACCGGUCAGAAAUAGCCGGUGGCAACUCUUUUGAUGGAAUUUUUGGUAUGCCAGGUAAAUCAAUAAUUAUGUCAAGGUCUUUCAAGCUCUUUGUGAUGAUCUUAUCAAGGAUAGGGAGGUGAAGAAACAUGGAGAGGCCACUUGCACAAGUAGUGUAGAAAAAGUAAAUGGGGAUGUUGUGUCUAGAGGACACAAACUCAAAAGCAGCACUGCAGAAGAAAUCUAUAAUGAAGGCUUUUAUAUUGGAGGAUUUAGAAAGAUUUAAGAGGGUCUGGUGGAGGUUGGUGUUGUUGAGCUCAGGGAGCUCAAAGAAAGAGGCUACGAAAUCUAGAGGAGAAAAGGAGGUGUUGGGAGGGAGAGAAACUUGAGGGAGGUGAAUAAGAGUUAUGGAGGGAUUGGUGUUGCAGAGUGUGGAAAAGUAGGGGUCAUCAAUGGAGAUUGAUUCAGUUGGCAUGGCGGAGAUUAUGAUUGUAAUUGAGAUUGAAGGGUGGUGUUCGAGAAUUUGCUUUCCUAGUUCCACCAUAGAGAAUAAGUGGCCUCUGCCAGGUGAUGGGUACAAGACUAUGGUAUCCUCCAUGAGGCAGGCUUCUCUCUUUUCGCACAACCACCGAAAGAGAGAAAGAUAGAGAUAUGAUAUCGCAGUAAGGACCUUGGAUGUGCUUUAUAUGCAAUUUAACUUUGGCUUUUUCUGUGGGCUUCACCUCAGUGAGUGUUUGUUUUUCCAGUCGAUUACUGCCUGUAUUUCAAAUGGCCUUUUACAGUAAAAAAAAACGUAUUAAAUUGUUUUUUUUUAAAUAUUUUUAAUAUACUAAUAUUAUAUAUAUUACUUCAAUUGAAAGCAAUUUUAAAAAAUAUCAUGCGAAAGCAUACUAAAAUCAUAUCAUGUGAUACUAUUAUAAUUGAUCGGCUUUGAAAAAAAAAUCAGUUCCAGGUGUAAUAUUGAGUUAAAAAAUAGUUGAAACAUCUACAUUUUUUUUAUGAUGCGAAUUACAAUCAAUUAUUGACAAAUAUUAUAAUACCUAAUAGUUAGGUAUAUUACAAAAAAAAAAAACUAAAAGUACUCAGCCUUGGCUUUUUCUAUAGCACGUGAAGAGAUUAAUUAUUGUGGAUUUAAGAAAAGUAAUAAAUAUUUUGCCCUUCAUUGUUUGGUAUUGAUGUAAAAUUUUCUUUUUUGAUGGACACAAAUGUCAUUUGUAGAUUGAUCAUUGUCAAUUUUCUCGUUCACCUUUGAAAAUACACGGUGAAAAUGACCUAUAGGCUAGCCCAUUAGCUCGCGCCACGCAAAAGAAAACAUCACCAAACAAAAAAAAUAUAGACAUUACAAAUAUAUCUUUUAAGAAAGUUCAAAUAUUUUAUUCAUGAAUUUAAAAUUAGUUGCAUAUCAGAAGAUAUUUUUAUCUAACAUGAGGAAGUAAACAUAUUGGAUCAACCUAGAUUAUUCUGGUUGACACUUGAAAGUUUCGGGAUAAUCUUGAAAAAAACAAGUUGAGAACUUAAAUCUUGAGUUAGUUCAAUGUUGAAGGACAAAAUAAAAAAAAUAUUUUUAUAGAAAACAAGUGAACCGGAGUCAACUAACCAAACUUUUCAUGCUAGUCAUACACGUCAUCGGAUUCAAUAAUUUUUUAUUCCAUAGAUUAGUUUCAUUUAAUAGAAUUACAUGAAAAUAAUGUGAAUGUGAUAUUUUUUAAUUAAAUAUUUUUUAAAAAGAAAAAAAUAACAUUAAAGAUGUCUGGGACUGGAGACAGCAAAAGCAAAUCGUUGUUAAUAAAGGGUGAAAUUGUUUUUUUUUUCUUUAAAUCUUAGUUAAUUAUAAAAAUAGAUCAUCGAUAAUAAGGAUGAAAAUGUUUUUUAAAAAAAAACAAUUGAGGUACUAAAAGUGCAUUAAGCAAAAAAAAUAAUACACUGAAUGUUGUGACUUAACUCGUCGAACUUACAAUCCCGGUCAUGAAACUAACAGGGUUAAUUUAUUUCAAUAUCUAAAAAGGGUGGAAAACCCCCAUAAGGCUAGCUAAUGCCUCAGCACACUAGGCCUCUAAAAAGAACAUCCCAGGCUUGCACACUUGAGCUUGUUUUUUCUUUUCUUUUCUUAUUAAAAUGGGCGAAUCUCUCUCCCCUUUCGCAUAAAAGGUUUGAAAAAUAAGGGGAAUAAACUUUUACAUCAAAAUUGAAUUUUUGAAAACUAAAAGGGGCAAUCACCUAUAAACCGAAAAAGAUAAGGGACUAAAAUAAAAAAUUUUGUAUGAAGAAUUCACCACCUAUUUAACUUGUUAUUUUCACUUUGAUUUUUUGACUUUCAAUCCAACCAUUUUGUAUUUCAUAUGAAAAAAUUAAGAAAAAAUCCAUGUGAAUAUAGGCUAUACAUGUUGUAAAUAAUGAAGUUAAAGUUUUUUAUCUCACAUUGAAAAAACCUAACUUUUUUCUUGUGAACAUAGAGUAUAUAUACUAAAGAGAUUCAAAUCUCACAUUGAAAAGAUAUUAUAUUAUCCUUUAAAAUUGAAGUAUUUAAACCAAAAGGUUUUUUAUCCCACUUUGAAAAACAUAACUUUUUUAUUAUGAACAUAGAGUAUAUAUACGAAAGGAUUUCAAAUCUCACAUUGAAAAAAUAAUUUUUUUCUUGGGAACAUAGAGUAUAUACAAUAAAAUCUCACAUUGAAAAAAUAAAAUAUUUUUCUAAUCUGUAUAUAGUGAACUUUAAAAAAUGUUAAUAACCAACUAAAAAAAUAUGAAAAAAGAAAGGUAUGGGAGGAAAACCACAUUUGAAAAGAAAAAAAAAAGGUCUCGUCCGGGUUCGCCUGAGUCGCCCAGGUACUGGAUUUUACCGGGUUGUUGAACCGGUCAGUCUUUUAACAAAUCCAUACUAGUCCAGCAAUCGAGUCAACCCACUAGGUCAGACCGGGUUUAAUAACAGUACCCACAAGAAUGAGCAAAUUUUGGGCUAGAUGGGGUCUGGAUUGCCAUUUCCAUGUAAAUUGACUCUCCUCGCUACAGCCCAAAGUCACUUCAUUUUUUUUAAGCCAAAGAAUAUUUUCAAAUCAUUUACGCAUUUAAUUAUUUUUUCAAAUGAUUUUAAAAAAACGUACUCUCGUAUCGAAACCCACAAAAAAGAAGAAAAGGAAAUGAGGAUAUGUACUAGACCACUCCCUUUAAAUUUCUUGAAGAUAAUUGUUAGAUAGAGGGGUUGAAACCAGUCCCAUCUAAAUUUGACCACUUGCCAUGAAAUUGCAUGAUUCAUGGGUUUGAAUGGCAGCUCGUGAGCGUUGUUUUUUUUUUUUUUUUUUUUUAAUAUGGGGUUAUCCGAAUACUGAAUGAUCAAGUAUCCUAGUAUAUUUUUUAAUUUUUUUUAUCCAGGUUGUUUCGGAUACAGGAUGAUCAAUAAUCUAAUAAAUAAAUAAAUAUUUAUUUAUAAUGAUUUAUAAAAGCUCGAAUUCUGUGCUUAAAUUGAAGGAUUAAAUUAAAUUUUUUUUAAAAUUAACUAUUUUAAUUCAUAAUAAUUUACGAGAGGAUGCGCAGAGAGAUUUGCCAUAGUAAAAAACCACAAAAACCAAUUUGGCAACCUAAAAAACAUUUUUAAUGCUAUAGUUUUUAACCCAACAAAACCAUUUUUUCAACCCAUUUAAAGCCAAGAACACCUAAAAACCAAUCUUAUAACAUGUAAAAAUCAAUUUGGCAACCUAAAAAACAACUCAAAUCACAAAAUGAAACCAAAUAAGUUCUCUCGUCCUCGACUUGGAUAUGUUUUUUAGGCAAUAUCAAGGCUUAAAGUAAUCUUCGUAAGACUCCUUUAAUCGAGUGUAACCCAUUGACACUGAUUCCAAUUGUUUUAAUGGCCUGAAUAUGUGUAGACGAUGAUGUUCUCAAGGACUAAAUUAAAUUUUUUAAAAAACUAACUGUUUCAAUUCACAAUAAUUUAUGAGAGAGUAUUUAAUCAUUUUAAUGUACUGAUCUCAAAAAUAAUUUUUAAAAACUAAAAAAACAUUAUUAACAUAUUUUUAUAUGACCCAUCUAUCCUAAAGAACAACAAGCAAGCCUAACUUUACCAAAACCCGCAAGAGGGGUUGAAACCAGUCCCCAUCUAAAAUUGUUAGAUAGAGAGGGGUUGAAACCAGUCGCUUUUAAAUUUCUUGAAGAAUAUAGUGUCAAUAAAUAGUGAAUUAAUUGUUAGAUAGAGAGGGGUUGAAACCAGUCCCAUCUAAAAGUGACCAUGGGUAUGAAAAUUACAGUGCUCAUCUCUUCACGCUUUGAUUCAUGGGUAUGAAAAUUACAGCCCUGUGAGCGUUGUUUUCUUUUUUUCCCCUUGCUAGAGUGAUUUGAAAGUUGAUUUAUUAUUUUUCUUAUUUUAUUCCACAAUAAGAUUAUUUAUUUUUAGAUAAAUUUAAAUAUCAAUCAAGAUUAAAUAACAUAAUUAUUACCCCCUUCUUAAUUAAGUAUGACAUUUGAACUGUCUACCAAAUCUCGACGUCCUUUCUUCACUGAGCUGCAACUUUUAAUUCUCUUAAAUGCUGGAUUAACUUAAUUAGCACUCGAGCAGUAUUCAAGAGAGAACUAUUAAGCUAAUAAAUAUUAAAGAAAAUUUAAUUAAAGAAAAAAAUAAAGCAAUGGGUGACGAGCUUUCGACACCCUUGGAAUUAUUAAGCACAACACGUCAGAAUGACACAGAUAUUGUUAUUAUUGGAUUCAUAUCGGAUAUAGGACUAUCCGCCUGGAAUGACAUACCAUGUAUUUAUUGAAUAUAUAAAUGUGGAGAAAAGGUUUAAAAAUUACCUAACCAACCACUCUAAUAUUUUGAAUUGAGAGCAAUUCUUUAACAUUUUAUGAACCGUGUUCGUUAAUGUUAUCUUCCGAUCAAGUAAAGCACGAGAACGCUAUUAAAAUUAUAUAUUUUUAAAAGUUUUAAGUUUUUUUGUUUUUUUUUAAUAUAUUUUUUUUUGUUUUUUGAAUUAUUUUAAUGUUUUAAUAUCAAAAAUAAUUUAAAAAAAAUAAAAAAUAUAUUAUUUUAAUAUAUUUGGGUCUUGCUAGGAGGCCAGGCCCAACAACGUUAUUGGGUCUGUUUCAUUCAAAAUCUAAGUCUGCAAUUGACCAGAAGUAAACCAGUCACCCGGCAUGGUCAACCCAAAACUAGGGCGAUCCGGCAAAAAUCUGAAAGAGACCUUUUUUUUUUUCAAAAGUGUUUUUUCAAGAAUUAUUAUAAAAUAGAGAUGAAUAUAGGGUCUUUGGAGACCGACCUUGUCAGGAGAGGGGCGAAGCAGCUUGACCAUAGCGGGAGGGGUGGUCACUCGUAUAAGUCACAGCCCUCCCUUGGGUCGCCUUCUAAGAUCAAAAGCUAGAGAAUCCUAUGUAGUUCGUUCCCUUACGGUUGAGACUUUGGAAUUCAAAACCCUCGCCUGUUGGCUUUCGCUCCCGGCUUCCCUGCCGGAAAUAGUUGCCUAAGCCCUCCUUUUGCUAUGAAAAAAAGGCACUUUCUUCUGGAAUCACCAACACGUUUAGUCGUUGAUCUAUUGUUGAGACUUGAGAGGUUUGAUUGGUUUCAAAUUUCAGCUGAUGCUUGGAGUUGGCAUGUCUUUGGUUGUCUCGUGUAUGUGUUUGAGAGUCUAAUGAGAGGAGGUGGCCGCAGGUGCUAGGAUUAGGUUGCUGGCACAAAGAUUUGUUUAUUUUUUAGAAUCGGUUCGGUUCGGUCCGGUUUAACUGAUUUCUGCAUUACAAAAUCGAAAACCGAACCGAGAUUUUUUCUAAAUAUUUUAAUCAGUUUUUUUGCUCGGUUUGGUUUUUUCGGUUUUUUUUUUGUUUUCUCACUUUAUUAUUUAUAAAAAAAUAAUAUUAGAUACAUAUCGGAUAUCGGUUUCGACACCCUUGGAAUUAUUAAGCACAACACGUCAGAAUGACACAGAUAUUGUUAUUAUUGGAUACAUAUCGGAUAUAGUUCUAUCCGCCUGGAAUGACAUCCCAUGUAUUUAUUGAAUAUAUAAAUGUGGAGAAAAGGGUUUAAAAAUUAACUUUACCUUUUGAUAUUAUUAUUUAUUGAGUAUAUAAAUGACAUUUUGAAUUGAGAGCAAUUCUUUAACAUUUCUUGAACCAUGUUCGUUAAAGUUAUCUUCCGAGCAACCAAGCACCUGGAACGUUAUUGAAAUUAUAUAUAUUUUUUAAAAUUUUAAAGUAUUUUGUUUAAACUUUUAUUUUUAUUUUUAUUUUUUGAAUUAUUUUAAUGUUAUAUAUUUUGAAUUAUUAAAACUUAUAUUAUUUUAAUGUAUUUUCACAACAAAAAAAACUAUUUUAAAAAACAAUCAUUAUUAUAUUUUCAAAUACAUUUUUAACAUGUUAGGAUCCCACUUCGAACUUCUCCUUCUCCUUCCUGGUUGAUAAGAUGGGUGUUUUCUUGAUAUUGUUUCCCCACUCUAUCUAUAAAAAAAAUUUGUUGCUUACUACAACAACAUUGAACUCUAAUCCCUUUAAUUAUUUCAUAGUAUUUAUUUAUAUAUGUAUUAGCAGAACUUUAAAACGCGUGAGAUUUCUACUAUACAUGAAUGUGUUUUGGACCAAAAAACAAUUUACUGUGGACUUACUAUACAUAUAUACAUUAUAGACCAAGAGACAAUUAACUGUGGACUUGUACAAUUGCUUAGCUAUAUAGUAAAAUGUAUGGAGAUUUUUCACUGUGAACCAAGAUACAAUUAACUGGACGACACUGUAGCCAACCGCAACCUGGAGGCGUUCCUUUCCUGUGUUUUUAGUCGAGAAUUGCGGCUGAGGGCGUUGCUCAUUUGACUUUUGCCAUUAAGAUGAGAACGAUGCAGCGGCAGAGGCGAUAGUAGAGCCGUUGGGUUUGGCUUUGGUAGCCAAACCCAACACUGUUGGUUCAGGUUGCUGCAGCAGGACACAUUAGCUUUGGGUCCUGCCCCCAGCAAGACCCCAAGACGCCUCUUUAUGCCUCUGCACAUCGUAUAUAUGUAUAUCUUCUUCACUACAGUAUAACACCACCAUUGAAUAUUAAUGUAAGAUCAUUGAUCAAUAAGGACGACUGGCUUCCAGUCGUAACAGUCAUACCAGUUAAAUUUCUUUGUCGUUGUCUUCUCUUAUUCAAAUUUAUAUUUCAAAAUAAAUUGAUGAGAUUUCUUUUAUAUUGUAUAAAAGUUGGGUGAUGAUAAUUUUUUCACGUUUCAGGUUGGGUUGAAUUUCCUAAUUAAAUCAUGUUAGAUUUUGUGUUUCGAAAAUUGUUUGAAAAUAAUUUUUAAAUUUUUUUCUUAGCUUCAAAUUAAUAUUUUUCUUAUGUUUUGGUAUUAUUUCAAAAACAAAUAUGUUGAGAUUGUGUCUUACUGCGAGGCUAAACCCAAGAAAUUUUAAAAUUUUUAAUUUUUUUCUUUACUUCAAAAUAAUAUUUUCUUCAUGUUUUUGUAUUAUUUUUUAAAUAUUUUUUUUGAAAAAAAACAUAUAUGGAGAUUGUGUCUGGUUGAGAGGCAAAACUCAAGAAAUUGAAAAAACUUUUAUUUUUUUUACUUCAAAUUAAUAUUCGUUUGAUAUUUUUUUUCUUUACUUCAAAUUAAUUAGAUCAUGUUUGAUUUUGCAUUUCAAAAUUUCUUUGAAAAAAAUUUGACAAUUUUUAAGUUUUUUUUCUUUACUUCAAAUUAAUAAUCUUUUUAUGUUUUCGUAUUCUUUUUUAAAAAUAUGAUGGCAUUGUGUUUGGCUGCGACGCUAGACCCAAGAAAUUUUAAAAUUUUAAUUCUUUUAUUUGUUUCAAAAUAAUACUUUUUGUCAUGUUGUUAUAUUUUUUAAAAAUAUAUUUUUUAAAAAAAUAUUGAGAUUGUGUCUGGCUGAGUAAAUAAUUCUCUAAUAUUGUCGUAUUAAAAUUGAUGGAGCUCUCAAUAAAUUUUUGAUUCACAUCAUAUACUUUAUAAAGUUUUGGUAUUAUAUAUGAGAUUAUUUAUUGGGUGCUAGAAGAUAUUUUAAUUUUAUAACAUUUUUUCAAAAUAAAUUGAUGAGAUUUCUUUUAUAUUGUAUAAAAGUUGGGUGAUGAUAAUUUUUUCACGUUUCAGGUUGGGUUGAAUUUCCUAAUUAAAUCAUGUUAGAUUUUUUGUUUCGAAAAUUGUUUGAAAAUAAUUUUUAAAUUUUUUUCUUUGCUUCAAAUUAAUAUUUUUCUUAUGUUUUGGUAUUAUUUCAAAAACAAAUAUGUUGAGAUUGUGUCUGACUGUAAGGCUAGACCCAAGAAAUUUUAAAAUUUUUAAUUUUUUUCUUUACUUCAAAAUAAUACUUUCCUCAUGUUUUUGUAUUAUUUUUUAAAUAUUUUUUUUGAAAAAAAACAUAUAUGGAGAUUGUGUCUGGUUGAGAGGCAAAACUCAAGAAAUUGAAAAAACUUUUAUUUUUUUUACUUCAAAUUAAUAUUCGUUUGAUAUUUUUUUUCUUUACUUCAAAUUAAUUAGAUCAUGUUUGAUUUUGCAUUUCAAAAUUUCUUUGAAAAAAAUUUGACAAUUUUUAAGUUUUUUUUCUUUACUUCAAAUUAAUAAUCUUUUUAUGUUUUCGUAUUCUUUUUUAAAAAUAUGAUGGCAUUGUGUUUGGCUGCGACGCUAGACCCAAGAAAUUUUAAAAUUUUAAUUCUUUUAUUUGUUUCAAAAUAAUACUUUUUGUCAUGUUGUUAUAUUUUUUUAAAAUAUAUUUUUUAAAAAAAUAUUGAGAUUGUGUCUGGCUGAGUAAAUAAUUCUCUAAUAUUGUCGUAUUAAAAUUGAUGGAGCUCUCAAUAAAUUUUUGAUUCACAUCAUAUACUUUAUAAAGUUUUGGUAUUAUAUAUGAGAUUAUAUAUUGGGUGCUAGAAGAUAUUUUAAUUUUAUAACAUUAGUGUAGGAGAUUCAAAGUUUUAUCAAUGUUUUAUUAUCUUUAAAUUUUUUAUACAAUAGUUUUGAAUUAUAUAUAUUAUUAAAUACAUAAAUAAAUUAUGUGUUAGGUCCAGCCCCUUGCAAGAACCAUUAGGGUUGGUCCUGCCGGGUGCAGGACCCAACAUUGCUUUGGGUCCUGACGUGUGCAGAAUCCAAUUGGGUGUUGAAUCAUGUCGGGUGCAGGGCCCAGAAUACCUCUGGGUUCUGCCGGGUGCAGGACUCAAAAUAGCUUUGGGUCCUGCCUGGUGCAGGACCCAUGUGGGUGUUGGGUCCUGUCAGUGCAGCACCCAGCCUCACACACACCAUGACCCAACAAUUAGGGCCCUGCCACCCAAUUCAUCAAGACCCAACAACAUUGGGCCUCAGAACCAGGACUCAACAGCUUUGGGCCUUGCCUCCCACCUACCUUGACCCAACGCCUAAUUGGAUCUUGCUGCCACCAGGACCCAACAACUUUGGGUCCUGCCUACUACCAUGACCCAACACCUAAAUGGACCCUUCUGCUACCAGGACCCAACAUCUCUGAAUCCUUUUCUAACCAGGACCCAACAGCUUGGGCCAUGCCCAAAGUAGCACCCAACACUUUGGGUCCUGCUAGUAGGUCAGGCCCAGCAGCGUUAGUGGGUCUUUUUCAUUCAAAAUCUAAGUCUGCAAUUGACCAGGAGUAAACCAGUCAACCUGCAAGGUCAACCCGAAACUAGGGCGAUUCGGCAAAAAUCUGAAAGAGACCUUUUUUUUUUCAAAUGUGUUUUUUCUCCUACACUAGACCCUUCGUUUUCUUAUAUUUUUAAGUUGGUUACUAACUCGUUUCAUAGUUCACUAUAUAAAUACUAUAAUAAUGUAUUUUUUUCCAUGUGGGAUUUGAAAUAUUUUAGUAUAUAUUUAUGUUUUGUCAAUAUGAGAUAAUAAACCUUUUUGGUUUAAAUACAAAAUAAAGUGACAUGACGGGUUAAAAAAUCAAAAACAAAAAAAUAGACAAAACAUCCUCUCUUUUAUUUUGUUUAGGAGUUCUUUUAAAAAAAUUUGAUUAUUUGAUCCGCGGCGAAGGAAGGUUCACAUAGCUAGUAUACAUAUAUUUAUUAUUAGUUUAUUCAAUCAAAUAUCAUCUCAUUUUGUAACAUGUAACUUCUUUUUAUUGUCACCAACGUGUGCAAGAGGCUUAACAUGAUCAUUUAUUAUUUUUUGUUCCAAGGUAUCAAUACCCUAUUAUUUGCGAUUUGUUGUCAUGAAUAUAUAAUCUGUUUUGCUUGAUAAUGCAUUGCAUAUUGCAUGAUAUUUUUGUGAAAAUAUCUUUUAAUUAAUCUGUUUUGCUUGAUAAUGCAUUGCAUAUUGCAUGAUAUUUUUGUGAAAAUAUCUUUUAAUUAAAAACAUAUCAAGAUUAUGUUUAUUUAGGUUUCUUUAUUUUUAAUAUUAAUACAUUAAAAUUAUUAAAAAAAUUAAUUUAUAUUAAUUAGUGACAAAACAAUGGCUUGAUACAUCACAAAUCCUUGUCUCCUCAGGGCCUUGCAAACAGAGCACCAACUUAAUUUGAAUUUACUUUUCUUUUGAAAGAUUACAUAUUGAAAGUUCAUGUUCAGGUAAAAAUGAUCAGCAAACAAGAUAGAUCCCAUUGUUGAACACUAAUGGUUUCAAGCCCGCGGUUUACAAUUAUCAACCUUUUUUAAAACAAUCCACCAACUUAGCCAUGGCUAUGCAAGAAGAUCCUCCGUCACUCUUUGCCACCACCGCAUCCUCCCUAAGUUUCAGAACCCUUUCUCGAACAGCUUCACCUUUCUUCGAGUUCAUCAGCUCAAUCACACGCUCCUCCAGCUCGGCCGCGUUCACAAACUGAUCGUCCCCAGCUUCUCUAAAUGCUAGAGCCACCUUCAUUUCCUCAACCAAGAAAAUCCUAUUCAUCCUUUGCUCUGCAUACAGAGGCCAAGCCACCAUUGGCACCCCAGCACACAGGGCUUCAAGUACAGAAUUCCAUCCACAAUGAGUCACAAACCCUCCAACCGAGCCGUGGUUGAGUAUUUCAACUUGUGGUGCCCAUGAAUUCACUAGAAAUCCCCGAUCUUGGGUUCUCUCCAAGAACCCUUCUGGCAAAAGUAAAUCCAAACAUGGCUCAUUUGGAGUGCUUGACCUGCCUGCUUGGGUUUGGCUAUCAGCCAGGGGAGGACGCACCACCCAUAAGAACCUAACACCACUUUUCUCCAACCCAAUAGCCGUUUCCCUUAACUGACGCGAAUUAAAGACUCCCAUGCUGCCGAAACAAAGAAAUAAAACACUGCGGGUUGGUUGCGAGUCAAGCCAUGUCAGACACUCGUGUUCGCUUUUGCUUUCGCUAGUGGUUAAAAGUGGACCAACGCAAAACAAUGGUGGUACUGGCUCAUCUGGGGCGCCGCACUUUCCUUCUUGUAUUGCCUGAAGUGCCUUACGUUCAAGGAACUCAAAUGUAUUUAUUAUGAGUCCUGCAGACUUGAUCAUCAGCUUGGCAGUGUCAACGAAGUAUUGGUAAACUCUGUGGGACCGGUCAGAAAUAGCCGGUGGCAACUCUUUUGAUGGAAUUUUUGGUAUGCCAGGUAAAUCAAUAAUUAUGUCAAGGUCUUUGAAGCUCUUUGUGAUGAUCUUAUCAAGGAUAGGGAGGUGAAGAAACGUGCAGAGGCCACUUGCAUCAGAAGUGUAGAAAAAGUAAAUGGGGAUGUUGUGUCUAGAGGACACAAACUCAAAAGCAGCACUGCAGAAGAAAUCUGUAAUCAAGGCUUUUAUAUUGGAGGAUUUAGAAAGAUUUAAGAGGGUCUGGUGGAGGUUGGUGUUGUUGAGCUCAGGGAGCUCAAAGAAAGAGGAUACGAAAUCUAGAGGAGAAAAGGAGGUGUUGGGAGGGAGAGAAACUUGAGGGAGGUGAAUAAGAGUUAUGGAGGGAUUGGUGUUACAGAGUGUGGAAAAGUAGGGGUCAUCAAUGGAGAUUGAUUCAGUUGGCAUGGCGGAGACUAUGAUUGUAAUUGAGAUUGAAGGGUGGUGUUCGAGAAUUUGCUUUCCUAGUUCCACCAUAGAGAAUAAGUGGCCUCUGCCAGGUGAUGGGUACAAGACGAUGGUAUCCUCCAUGUGGCAGGCUUCUCUGUUUUCGCACAAGUCCACAACCACCGAAAGAGAGAAAGAUGGAGAUAUGAUAUCGCAGUAAGGACCUUGGAUGUGCUUUAUAUGCAAUUUAACUUUGGUUUUUUCUGUGGGCUUCACCUCAGUGAGUGUUUGUUUUUCCAGUCGAUUACUGCCUGUAUUUCAAAUGGCCUUUUACAGUAAAAAAAAAAAGUAUUAAUUGUUUUUUUAAAAUAUUUUUAAAUUUGAUUUUUUGACUUUCAAUCCAACCAUGUUGUAUUUCAUAAGAAAAAAUCAAAAAAACAUCAAUGUAAAUAUAAACUAUACAUGUUAUAAAUAAUAAAAUUUAAAAUAAUAUUUUAAAAAGUUUUUUAUCCUACAUUGAAAAAACCUAUAGAAUAUAUAUACUAAAGGGAUUCAAAUUUCACAUUGAAAAGAUACUAUGUUAUCCUUUUAAAUUGAAGUAUUUAAACCAAAAAUUUUUUUAUCCCACUUUGAAAAACAUAACUUUUUUAUUAUGAACAUAGAGUAUAUAUACGAAAGGAUUUCAAAUCUCACAUUGAAAAAAUAACUUUUUUCUUACGAAUAUAGAGUAUAUAUACUAAAGGGUUUCAAAUCUCGCAUUGAAAAAAUAAAAUAUUUUUUUAAUAUUUAUAUAGUGAACUUUAAAAAAUAUUAAUAACCAAUUAAAAAAAUAUAAAAAAAGAGAGGUAUAGGAGGAAAACCACAUUUGAAGAAAAAAAAAGGAUCUCGUCCAGGUUCGCUCGAGUCGCCCAGGUACCGGAUUUUAUCGGGUUGAUGCCCCGGCCAAUAUUUUAAUAAAUUCAAACCAAUCCAGCAUCGAAUCAACCCGUCAAAUCAGGCCGGGUUUAAUAAUAGUGCUCACAAGAGUGGGCAAAUUUUGCGCUAGAUGGGGUCUGGAUUGCCAUUUCCAUGUAAAUUGACUCUCCUCGCUACAGGCUAAAGUCACUUCGUUUUUUUUUUAAGCCAAAGAAUAUUCUCAAAUCAUUUACGCAUUUAAUUAUUUUUUCAAAUGAUUUUAAAAAAACGUACUCUCGUAUCUAAACCCAAAAAAAAAGAAAAGGAAAUGAGGAUAUGUACGAGACCACUCCCUUUAAAUUUCUUGAAGAUAAUUGUUAGAUAGAGGGGUUGAAACCAGUCCCAUCUAAAUUUGACCACUUGCCAUGAAAUUGCAUUGAUUCAUGGGUUUGAAUGGCAGCUCGUGAGCGUUGGUUUUUUUUUUUUUUUAAUAUGGGGUUAUCCGAAGACUGAAUGAUAAGUAUCCUAGUAUAUUUUUUAAUUGUUUUUAUGCAGGUUCUUUCGGAUAUAGGAUGAUCAAGUAUUUCAGUAUUUUCUCUAUAAAUAAGCAGUGAGUUUAACAUGAUCACCUUUUAAAAAAAUAAAUAAAUGAAUAUUUAUUUAUAACUAUUUAUAAAAGCGGAAAUUCCGUGCUUAAAUUCAAGAACUAAAUUAAAUUUUUUAAAAAAUUAAUUAUUUUAAUUAACAAUAAUUUGUGAGAGAGUACACUGAGAGAUUUGCCAUAAUAAAUAACCACACAUGUUUUAUUGUACUGUUAAUUAAUAAAAUAAUUUACUGUAAUUUUUAAGAAUUCAUUGAGUUAAGUCAAUCUUGAGCUGAGCCAGGAUGGCCGAAAAUCUAACUAUUUUAUGCAUGGCCCAAUCUAUCCUAAGAACAACAAGCAAGUCUAACUAACCAUUUAGUAGGUGGUCCAGUGAUAAGAGCUUGAAAUUAAAAGGUUUGUUCCCCUGUGAUUUUAGAUUCGAGCCAUGUGGUUGUUAAUAUGAUGAUCACUGGAAGUUUAUAUGGUCAUUAACUUUAAGAUCUGUGGAAUUAGUCGAGGUACACAUAAGUUAACCCAAACACUCACAUUAAUAAAUAAAUAAAAAAACAAGCAAUCCUAACUUUACCAAAUUCCACAAGGAAGGUUGAAACCAGUCCCAUCUAAAAUUGUUAGAUAGAGAGGGGUUGAAACCAGUCCCAUCUAAAAUUGACCACUUGCCAUGAAAUUACAGUGCCCAUCUCUUCAUGCUUUGAUUAAUGGGUAUGAAAAUGUUGGCUCUGUCAGCGUUGGUUUCUUUUCCCCCUUGGUAGAGUGAUUUGAAAGUUGAUUUAUUAUUUUUCUUAUUUUAUUCCACAAUAAGAGUAUUUAUUUUUAGAUAAAUUUAAAUAUCAAUCAAGAUUAAAUAACAUAAUUGUUACCCCCUUCUUAAUUAAGUAUGACAUUUGAACUGUCUACCAAAUCUCGACGUCCUUUCUUCACUGAGCUGCAACUUUUAAUUCUCUUAAAUGCUGGAUUAACUUAAUUAGCACUCGAGCAGUAUUCAAGAGAGAACUAUUAAGCUAAUAAAUAUUAAAGAAAAAUUAAUUAAAGAAAAAAAUAAAGCAAUGGGUGACGAGCUUUCGACACCCUUGUAAUUAUUAAGCACAACACGUCAGAAUGACACAGAUAUUGUUAUUAUUGGAUUCAUAUCGGAUAUAGGACUAUCCGCCUGGAAUGACAUACCAUGUAUUUAUUGAAUAUAUAAAUGUGGAGAAAAGGUUUAAAAAUUACCUAACCAACCACUCUAACAUUUUGAAUUGAGAGCAAUUCUUUAACAUUUCAUGAACCGUGUUCGUUAAUGUUAUCUUCCGAUCAAGUAAAGCACGGGAACGCUAUUAAAAUUAUAUUUUUUAAAAGUUUUAAAUUUUUUUGUUUUAAAUUUUAUUUUUAUUUUUUGAAUUAUUUCAAUGUUUUAAUAUCAAAAAGUAAAUGGGGAUGUUGUGUCUAGAGGACACAAACUCAAAAGCAGCACUGCAGAAGAAAUCUAUAAUCAAGGCUUUUAUAUUGGAGGAUUUAGAAAGAUUUAAGAGGGUCUGGUGGAGGUUGGUGUUGUUGAGCUCAGGGAGCUCAAAGAAAGAGUUGGGAGGGAGAGAAACCUGAGGGAGGUGAAUAAGAGUUAUGGAGGGAUUGGUGUUACAGAGUGUGGAAAAGUAGGGGUCAUCAAUGGAGAUUGAUUCAGUUGGCAUGGCGGAGAUUAUGAUUGUAAUUGAGAUUGAAGGGUGGUGUUCGAGAAUUUGCUCUUUUCGCACAAGUCCACAACCACCGACAGGGAGAAAGAUAGAGAUGAGGAGAUCACAGUGAAGACCGUCGAGGCGCUUUAUAUGCAAUUUAACUUUGGUUUUGUCUGGGGCCCGCUUGACCUCAGUGACUGUUUGUUUUUCCAGUCAAUUACUACCUGUAUUUC